This 153-nucleotide ribosomal RNA is filed under the name Plasmodiophora brassicae. RNAcentral describes it as "partial 18S ribosomal RNA". It matches the Rfam family "Eukaryotic small subunit ribosomal RNA", at positions 535 to 687 of the family's 1831-position model. The record is from RNAcentral. Lineage: Eukaryota; Endomyxa; Phytomyxea; Plasmodiophorida; Plasmodiophoridae.
UAUCGAGGAUCCAUUGGAGGGCAAGUCUGGUGCCAGCAGCCGCGGUAAUACCAGCUCCAAUAGCGUAUAUUAAAGUUGUUGCAGUUAAAAAGCUCGUAGUUGGACUUGUGCUGCGCGUGUUCAGCGGUCUGCGUUCAAAAGAGCGUUACGACA